AUUGAACGCUGGCGGCAGGCCUAACACAUGCAAGUCGAACGGUAACAGGAAGAAGCUUGCUUCUUUGCUGACGAGUGGCGGACGGGUGAGUAAUGUCUGGGAAACUGCCUGAUGGAGGGGGAUAACUACUGGAAACGGUAGCUAAUACCGCAUAACGUCGCAAGACCAAAGAGGGGGACCUUCGGGCCUCUUGCCAUCGGAUGUGCCCAGAUGGGAUUAGCUAGUAGGUGGGGUAACGGCUCACCUAGGCGACGAUCCCUAGCUGGUCUGAGAGGAUGACCAGCCACACUGGAACUGAGACACGGUCCAGACUACUACGGGAGGCAGCAGUGGGGAAUAUUGCACAAAGGGCGCAAGCCUGAUGCAGCCAUGCCGCGUGUAUGAAGAAGGCCUUCGGGUUGUAAAGUACUUUCAGCGGGGAGGAAGGGAGUAAAGUUAAUACCUUUGCUCAUUGACGUUACCCGCAGAAGAAGCACCGGCUAACUCCGUG
RNAcentral lists this ribosomal RNA (490 nucleotides) under uncultured bacterium. Its description in RNAcentral is "partial 16S ribosomal RNA". It matches the Rfam family "Bacterial small subunit ribosomal RNA", at positions 30 to 507 of the family's 1533-position model. The record is from RNAcentral.